GAUGAACGCUGGCGGCGUGCCUAAUACAUGCAAGUCGAGCGAACGGACGAGAAGUUUGUUUCUUUGAUGUUAGCGGCGGACGGGUGAGUAACACGUGGAUAACCUACCUAUAAGACUGGGAUAACUUCGGGAAACCGGAGCUAAUACCGGAUAAUAUUUUGAACCGCAUGGUUCAAAUGUGAAAGACGGUCUUGCUGUCACUUAUAGAUGGAUCCGCGCUGCAUUAGCUAGUUGGUAAGGUAACGGCUUACCAAGGCAACGAUGCAUAGCCGACCUGAGAGGGUGAUCGGCCACACUGGAACUGAGACACGGUCCAGACUCCUACGGGAGGCAGCAGUAGGGAAUCUUCCGCAAUGGGCGAAAGCCUGACGGAGCAACGCCGCGUGAGUGAUGAAGGUCUUCGGAUCGUAAAACUCUGUUAUUAGGGAAGAACAUAUGUGUAAGUAACUGUGCACAUCUUGACGGUACCUAAUCAGAAAGCCACGGCUAACUACGUG
RNAcentral lists this ribosomal RNA (497 nucleotides) under uncultured bacterium. Its description in RNAcentral is "partial 16S ribosomal RNA". It matches the Rfam family "Bacterial small subunit ribosomal RNA", at positions 28 to 507 of the family's 1533-position model. The record is from RNAcentral.